RNAcentral lists this transfer RNA (75 nucleotides) under Dehalococcoidia bacterium. Its description in RNAcentral is "tRNA-Pro". It matches the Rfam family "tRNA". From Rfam's summary of the family: Transfer RNA (tRNA) molecules are approximately 80 nucleotides in length. Their secondary structure includes four short double-helical elements and three loops (D, anti-codon, and T loops). The record is from RNAcentral. Lineage: Bacteria; Bacillati; Chloroflexota; Dehalococcoidia.
CGGGGUGUAGCGCAAGGGUAGCGCGCGUCGUUCGGGACGACUAGGUCGAAGGUUCAAAUCCUCUCACCCUGACCA